This 111-nucleotide ribosomal RNA is filed under the name Yersinia frederiksenii. The record is from RNAcentral. Lineage: Bacteria; Pseudomonadati; Pseudomonadota; Gammaproteobacteria; Enterobacterales; Yersiniaceae.
UGAGAGUAUAUUUUAAUUUUCAGCGANCCCAUGCCGAACUCAGAAGUGAAACGCCGUAGCGCCGAUGGUAGUGUGGGGUCUCCCCAUGCGAGAGUAGGACACUGCCAGGCA